This 497-nucleotide ribosomal RNA is filed under the name uncultured bacterium. RNAcentral's name for it is "partial 16S ribosomal RNA". It matches the Rfam family "Bacterial small subunit ribosomal RNA", at positions 28 to 507 of the family's 1533-position model. The record is from RNAcentral.
GAUGAACGCUGGCGGCGUGCCUAAUACAUGCAAGUCGAGCGAACGGACGAGAAGCUUGCUUCCCUGAUGUUAGCGGCGGACGGGUGAGUAACACGUGCAUAACCUACCUAUAAGACUGGGAUAAACUCGGGAAACCGGAGCUAAUACUGGAUCAUAUUCUGAACCGCAUGGUUCAAAAGUGAAAGACGGUCUUGCUGUCACUUAUAGAUGGAUCCGCGCUGCAUUAGCUAGUUGGUAAGGUAACGGCUUACCAAGGCGACGAUGCAUAGCCGACCUGAGAGGGUAAUCAGCCACACUGGGACUGAGACACGGGCCCAGCUCCUACGGGAGGCAACAGUUGGGAAUCUUCCGCAAUGGGCGAAAACCUGACGGAACAACGCCGCGUGGGUGAUGAAGGUCUUCGGGUCUUAAAACUCUGUUAUUAGGGAAAGACAGAUGUGUAGGUAACAGUGCACAUCUUGACGGUACCUGAACAGAAAGCCACGGCUAACUACGUG